This 3734-nucleotide long non-coding RNA is filed under the name Homo sapiens (human). RNAcentral describes it as "HSALNT0344707". The record is from RNAcentral. Lineage: Eukaryota; Metazoa; Chordata; Mammalia; Primates; Hominidae.
UGAACUGCUGCUCUUAAUUUGCUCCUCUCCCCUCCUUUUUCAGUAUCAGCUGUAAUGCCAACUUCUAGUGAGCUCGAAAACAGGACGUGGCUUUCUAUCAUAUGCCAAAAACACACCUUUAACACACUGUCCUUGGUUCCUUCAUGACUCCUCACCUGUUUCUUGGCAACGAGGUUCAGUUGUCUAAUGUGAUUGCAGUCGCCUGUGGGUUUCUAACGGAGACCAACGUACUAUGUACCUGCACUUGAGAAGAUCAUUAAACCUUCCUUUGUCCUACAUGAAUAUUUUAUCUUGGCUGGCAUAACUGCCGGGCUCCACAACUCUGAUAAAAGUAAAAUAUGAGCUGUCUUAGCAGACAGCAUUGUUCAUGGUGAAAAUAACCCUGAUUGGUAAAUUGCAUCUGACUGGGGGUACUAUGAAUGAACAACCUAUAGCAUUUGAGAGGCCAUAGAUUUGGACUCGUGAGGGCUGUGCCUUUGAACCUGCACCUGAUGCCUCUUGGGAGAAUUCUGGGAUUUAACUCCACGACUCCAGUUCUGCUGCAAAUCCUCCUGCAAGACAUGGUGAUGUUUUCAUACUGCCACUGGACAUAUGCAUGUAUGGAUUUGCCUCCAUUUCCAGGAUUGAAGAAGCAUGGACCACUGGCCAGAUCUUCCUGAACCGUUCCCAAGACUCUGUGUCACCUCCGCCUCCUGCCUGGACACCCUUACAGCCAAUCUUUGUAUGUCUUCUCUGGUGUUUAUGUCACUGUGGGAGACCCAAGAUUCUCAGGUCACACACCUCAUCCUUCCUUCUCCAAUCCUGAUUUGGCCCUGCACCCUGAUCUGUCCCUAUCACCCAUUGCCAUAUCUCUCAUGAUGCUUAAUUCCUUGCAUGCACAGUAUUUAAAUUAUCCUAGCACUUUCUGCUUGGCAGAAAUCACAGCCCUAAUUCCACUCCACUCUGCUGAACCAACACCUGGUGCAGUUGGAUGUACUGCGCCUGUAGAAAAAACCCAGAACGAGGAUGGGGGGGCAUCUCCAUUUAACUUUAUGACCAUUGCUCUGAAGUGUGCCUUUUCAGUCGCCCUGCUUGCAGGAGAGAUUUCAUUUUCACCCGGAGACAUUUAUUUUUUGCCUUCCUUUCUCCCUAAAGUCUCCAGUAGUGCCAUCUGCAGGCCACAGGUCCCUGCUGUGCAGAUGGUCCACACAAGGGCAGCUGGGGGGCAGCUGUAAGCCGAUCCCAUGCCACCUGCAUCAGCCAAAAGGAAGGGGCUCUCUCAUUCAACAGACACAAAGAACACUUACCAACACCACCAAUUCCCAAAUGCGUACCUGCAGCCUGAACCCUGUUCUGAAAUGUGGAUUUGAGGGUCCAGCAGCCCACUCAGCUCACGCAAUAGGACCCGAACCUCACAUGCAUAUAAACAAGUUCCUAAUAUUUCUCCUCAAACUCAUACCUCUGCAAUCUUUCCAUCUCAUGAAUGCAGCGUUAUCCUUCCUAAAAGCCUUGGGGGCACUCCUGACCCUCUGCUCUCUCAACCCACAUCCAACACAUCAGCAAUUUCUGUUCGCUAUACCUUCAAAAUAUAAGUAGAAUCUGAUCAGUCGUGUUUCAUGGCCAAUGUGCUCAUCCAAGCCACCAUUUUCUCAGGCUGGACUGUUACCAUCGUCUUCUAAUUGGUGUGCUUGCUUCCAUCUUUCCAACAUCCUCCCUGGCUAACACCCCAGAGCCAAAGAGACUCCAUUACAACCUAAGUCACAUAACUCUUCUGCUCAGAUGAUGCCGAUGGCUUUCCAGCUCUCUCGAAGUAACAGCUGCAAGCAUAUUUACAGUGCCCUCAGGGUCCCUUCGUGGCUGCCACGCUGACAUGACCUUAGGGACCUGGUGUCUAGUGUCACUCUCCUUGUUCACAAGCCAAGAGCUCCAGCUCCACCUGUCUCCACACCGUGCCCUGAAAUACACAGAUGUGCUGCACCCUGAGGCUUCUGCACUAGGCCCUCCACCUCGGUGUUUCUCUGAUGCUCUGCCUAGCACUGCAUGCCUUCACUCAAGGGUCUCUUUCUCAAAUUGUGACACACCACAUUCUCCUUCUCUGCUUCAUUUCUCUCCAUGGCAUGUAUCACCUGUGGCUAUACUAUAUCCUGUAUAAUAAAAUUAUAUAAUACAUAGAGACUGAUAGGUCUAUGAAAUUGACUUAUUUUGUUUACUCCUUUUCUCCAAUCCUGUCCUGCCUUCAUAAAGCGUGUCUCACCUUAGUUUUAACUUGCAUUCCCCUAAAUGGCUAGUGAGGCUGAAUGCGUUUGAUAUGCUUAACAAUAUUUUAUCAUUUCUUCCUGAGAGUGCCUGACUUGGUUCACAGGUAGAUAUAAACCUAUCUAUCAGAUAUAAAUAGUGAGAGAAAACAUGCACUUUCUCACCGCUGAGCUAACCUGGGGAAAGUUCUGCCUUUCUAGUUGCCACAGGAGGAAAGGUGCACAGGUGCGCGCAGCCAGGAGCAUGUGGGGAAGCUCAUCCUGGCAGGACCCACCCCAGCAGAAGCACUAGCAGGCAACACGGGGCCAGGGGUUUGAUGUCAGGGAAGGCAAGAUGGGAGCUUGCCAGAUUUCCGUAUCAACUGCCACUUAAUAAUCACAUUCCAUGCUUUUAUGAAUUAUCCUUACUGAUCUAAUUUUGUAUCAGUAGUGCUUGAAGGGCUUAAAGGAAAAACUAGCCCUUUCCUUAAGCAAAAGAGAGUGAGCUAGCUAUAUGUCAUCUAUAUAUUUUAAAAUUACAAUAAUAAUACAUAACUAGAGGAAAAGUGUAAAGAAAUACAUUAAACAAAAAGUAGGCGUCUCUUCAUUGCUUAACUGUAAGCAUACCCUCUGGGUAUAAUGAUUAUUAAGUUAUCUACUAAUAACAUGCACUCUAUAAACAGGUAGAAUAAAAACAGAGAUUACACAUUAUUUUACAAUUUGAAUCUUGGUUAAAGAGGUUCUUCCAGAAAGUCAAGAAGAAAAUGUCAACCAUAUUUCUCUUUCUAGCAAAAUUAAUAGUACACUGAAAUUAAGAUUAUUCAACUGUGUAAACGUGUUACAUACCAAUAUUUCCACAUUAUAUAUCCUCAGAUUUUAUUUUUAUUUUUACUAUGAUGAUUUGUAGCACAUAUGUAAAAAGACCAGUGCCUUAUGGAUACCUCUUUUUUCCCCCAGCUAUGCACAUAGCACUCCAUGAAACAUUUAUAUGCAUAUAUCUUUACAUGUUGGUGGGUAUUUCUCUCAAAGAAAUUAUUAGAGUUGAAAUUGAGGGAUUAAUGUCUAAGAAAAAUUUACCGUUUGAGAGCUAUGGUCAAAUUACCCUCCAGAAAUGUCCAGCCAUUUCUCUCCAACUAUUUGUAACAGAGGAUCUCUUUCCCCAAACUCUUCCAAUAUGUUUAUGAAUCUUACAGGUGAAAUGGGAUCUACUUAUUUUUGCUUUUAUUUACCUGAAUAUUAGAGGGAUGUUAAGUAUUAUCUGAUUUAUAUUCAUUUAUAUAUUCUCCUCUGUUAAUGUCCUAUGGCCAUUUUUAACCAUAAAUAAAUGUAUAUUAAUUAGAGCUACUCAGGAAUUGCAUUCUUAUUGUAAAACAUACACAGGAGAGAAAGAAGCAUCUCCAACAUUAACACCAUUCUGUCUUAGGUUCCUUAGAUGCCUGAGUUUAAUGUUCCGUUUGCUAGCUUUUCUUCUUUUAUUGCAUGUACAUAGCUUUUUAUGUAUUCAUAAAUGUAAAUUUUUGU